This 487-nucleotide ribosomal RNA is filed under the name uncultured bacterium. RNAcentral's name for it is "bacterial SSU rRNA". It matches the Rfam family "Bacterial small subunit ribosomal RNA", at positions 40 to 518 of the family's 1533-position model. The record is from RNAcentral.
CGGCAGGCCUAACACAUGCAAGUCGAACGGUAACAGGAAGAAGCUUGCUCUUGCUGACGAGUGGCGGACGGGUGAGUAAUGUCUGGGAAACUGCCUGAUGAGGGGGAUAACUACUGGAAACGGUAGCUAAUACCGCAUAACGUCGCAAGACCAAAGAGGGGGACCUUCGGGCCUCUUGCCAUCGGAUGUGCCCAGAUGGGAUUAGCUAGUAGGUGGGGUAACGGCUCACCUAGGCGACGAUCCCUAGCUGGUCUGAGAGGAUGACCCAGCCACACUGGAACUGAGACACGGUCCAGACUCCUACGGGAGGCAGCAGUGGGGAAUAUUGCACAAUGGGCGCAAGCCUGAUGCAGCCAUGCCGCGUGUAUGAAGAAGGCCUUCGGGUUGUAAAGUACUUUCAGCGGGGAGGAAGGGAGUAAAGUUAAUACCUUUGCUCAUUGACGUUACCCGCAGAAGAAGCACCGGCUAACUCCGUGCCAGCAGCGGC